RNAcentral lists this transfer RNA (73 nucleotides) under bacterium. RNAcentral describes it as "tRNA-Thr". It matches the Rfam family "tRNA". Rfam says of the family: Transfer RNA (tRNA) molecules are approximately 80 nucleotides in length. Their secondary structure includes four short double-helical elements and three loops (D, anti-codon, and T loops). RNAcentral also lists the same sequence under 2 other names. The record is from RNAcentral.
GCCUCUGUUGCUUAGUUGGUAGAGCAUUGCUUCGGUAAGGCAAAGGUCACGGGUUCAAAUCCCGUCAGAGGCU